UGAGGAAUAUUGGACAAUGGGCGCAAGCCUGAUCCAGCCAUGCCGCGUGCAGGAAGAAGCAUCUAUGGUGUGUAAACUGCUUUUGUACGGGAAGAAACACUCCUUCGUGAAGGAGCUUGACGGUACCGUAAGAAUAAGGAUCGGCUAACUCCGUGCCAGCAGCCGCGGUAAUACGGAGGAUCCAAGCGUUAUCCGGAAUCACUGGGUUUAAAGGGUCCGUAGGCGGUUUAGUAAGUCAGUGGUGAAAGCCCAUCGCUCAACGAUGGAACGGCCAUUGAUACUGCUAGACUUGAAUUACAAGGAAGUAACUAGAAUAUGUAGUGUAGCGGUGAAAUGCUUUGAUAUUAGAUGGAAUACCAAUUGCGAAGGCAGGUUACUACUUGUGGAUUGACGCUGAUGGACGAAAGCGUGGGGAGCGAACA
This 422-nucleotide ribosomal RNA is filed under the name uncultured bacterium. RNAcentral's name for it is "bacterial SSU rRNA". It matches the Rfam family "Bacterial small subunit ribosomal RNA", at positions 355 to 774 of the family's 1533-position model. The record is from RNAcentral.